This 64-nucleotide transfer RNA is filed under the name Anadara broughtonii. RNAcentral describes it as "tRNA-Tyr". Lineage: Eukaryota; Metazoa; Mollusca; Bivalvia; Arcoida; Arcidae. RNAcentral also lists the same sequence under 1 other name. The record is from RNAcentral.
GCUGAGAUGGCAGUAAGUGCGGUAGGUUGUAGCCCUAAUAACACGAUAAAUAUCGUUCUUGGUA